Oncorhynchus keta (chum salmon) is the source of this 961-nucleotide long non-coding RNA. RefSeq lists it as uncharacterized. The transcript has 3 exons. The record is from RefSeq and is a predicted model, not a curated record. Lineage: Eukaryota; Metazoa; Chordata; Actinopteri; Salmoniformes; Salmonidae.
UAUCAGAUUUAGAUUGUAUUGAGUAUACAGUCCACACCAUAUCUAUUUAGACAGUGAGGUAUCAGAUUUAGAUUGUAUUGAGUAUACAGUCCUCACCAUAUCUAUUUAGACAGUGAGGUAUCAGAUUUAGAUUGUAUUGAGUAUACAGUCCACACCAUAUCUAUUUAGACAGUGAGGUAUCAGAUUUAGAUUGUAUUGAGUAUACAGUCCACACCAUAUCUAUUUAGACAGUGAGGUAUCAGAUUUAGAUUGUAUUGAGUAUACAGUCCACAUCAUAUCUAUUUAGACAGUGAGGUAUCAGAUUUAGAUUGUAUUGAGUAUACAGUCCACACCAUAUAUAUUUAGACAGUGAGGAAUCAGAUUUAGAUUGUAUUGAGUAUACAGUCCACACCAUAUCUAUUUAGACAGUGAGGAAUCAGAUUUAGAUUGUAUUGAGUAUACAGUCCACACCAUAUCUAUUUAGACAGUGAGGAAUCAGAUUUAGAUUAUAUUGAGUAUACAGUCCACACCAUAUCUAUUUAGACAGUGAGGUAUCAGAUUUAGAUUGUAUUGAGUAUACAGUCCUCACCAUAUCUAUUUAGACAGUGAGGUAUCAGAUUUAGAUUGUAUUGAGUAUACAGUCCACACCAUAUCUAUUUAGACAGUGAGGUAUCAGAUUUAGAUUGUAUUGAGUAUACAGUCCACACCAUAUCUAUUUAGACAGUGAGGUAUCAGAUUUAGAUUGUAUUGAGUAUACAGUCCACACCAUAUCUAUUUAGACAGUGAGGUAUCAGAUUUAGAUUGUAUUGAGUAUACAGUCCACACCAUAUCUAUUUAGACAGUGAGGUAUCAGAUUUAGAUUGUAUUGAGUAUACAGUCCACACCAUAUCUAUUUAGACAGUGAGGUAUCAGAUUUAGAUUGUAUUGAGUAUACAGUCCACACCAUAUCUAUUUAGACAGUGAAGCUAACAUUUUAAAUGUG